RNAcentral lists this ribosomal RNA (508 nucleotides) under uncultured Glomus. Its description in RNAcentral is "SSU rRNA". It matches the Rfam family "Eukaryotic small subunit ribosomal RNA", at positions 569 to 1081 of the family's 1831-position model. Lineage: Eukaryota; Fungi; Glomeromycota; Glomeromycetes; Glomerales; Glomeraceae. The record is from RNAcentral.
AGCAGCCGCGGUAAUUCCAGCUCCAAUAGCGUAUAUUAAAGUUGUUGCAGUUAAAAAGCUCGUAGUUGAAUUUCGGGGUCAGUAGGUUGGUCGUGCCACUGGUAUGCACUGGUCUCACUGAUUCCUCCUUCCUGAUGAACUGUAAUGCCAUUAAUUUGGUGUUGCGGGGAAUCUGAACUGUUACUUUGAAAAAUUAGAGUGUUUAAAGCAGGCUAACGCUUGAAUACAUUAGCAUGGAAUAAUGAAAUAGGACGAUCGAUCCUAUUUUGUUGGUUUCUAGGAUUGACGUAAUGAUUAAUAGGGAUAGUUGGGGGCAUUAGUAUUCAAUUGUCAGAAGUGAAAUUCUUGGAUUUAUUGAAGACUAACUACUGCGAAAGCAUUUGCCAAGGAUGUUUUCAUUAAUCAAGAACGAAAGUUAGGGGAUCGAAGACGAUCAGAUACCGUCGUAGUCUUAACCAUAAACUAUGCCGACUAGGGAUCGGAUGAUGUAAUUUUUAAUGACUCAUUC